Non-coding RNA from Felis catus (domestic cat), 85 nucleotides. NCBI's taxonomy places the organism in Eukaryota, Metazoa, Chordata, Mammalia, Carnivora, Felidae. The record is from Rfam.
GCCUGGGUGGCUCAGUCGGUUAAGCACCUGACUUUGGCUCAGGUCAUGAUCUCACUGCUUGUGGGUUUGAGCCUCGCGUCAGGUU